RNAcentral lists this ribosomal RNA (775 nucleotides) under uncultured Bacillota bacterium. Its description in RNAcentral is "bacterial SSU rRNA". It matches the Rfam family "Bacterial small subunit ribosomal RNA", at positions 58 to 812 of the family's 1533-position model. Lineage: Bacteria; Bacillati; Bacillota. The record is from RNAcentral.
CAAGUCGAACGCGAAAGUGGAGCAAUCCAUGAGUAGAGUGGCAAACGGGUGAGUAACACGUGGGUGACCUGCCUUCGAGCGGGGGAUAACGUCCCGAAAGGGACGCUAAUACCGCAUGACAUCCUGCUUUUUAACAGGUGGAGAUCAAAGCCGGGGAUCGCAAGACCUGGCACUCGAAGAGGGGCCCGCGCCUGAUUAGCUAGUUGGUGGGGUAACGGCUCACCAAGGCGACGAUCAGUAUCCGGCCUGAGAGGGCGGACGGACACACUGGGACUGAGACACGGCCCAGACUCCUACGGGAGGCAGCAGUGGGGAAUUGUUCGCAAUGGGCGCAAGCCUGACGACGCAACGCCGCGUGGAGGAUGAAGAUCUUCGGGUCGUAAACUCCUUUCGAUCGAGACGAACGGCCUCCGGGUGAACAAUCCGGAGGAGUGACGGUACCGAGAGAAGAAGCCCCGGCUAACUCCGUGCCAGCAGCCGCGGUAAUACGGGGGGGGCAAGCGUUGUUCGGAAUUACUGGGCGUAAAGGGCGCGUAGGUGGCCAACUAAGUCAGACGUGAAAUCCCUCGGCUUAACCGGGGAACUGCGUCUGAUACUGGAUGGCUUGAGUGUGGGAGAGGGAUGCGGAAUUCCAGGUGUAGCGGUGAAAUGCGUAGAUAUCUGGAGGAACACCGGUGGCGAAGGCGGCAUCCUGGACCAUUACUGACACUGAAACGCGAAAGCCAGGGGAGCAAACGGGAUUAGAUACCCCGGUAGUCCUGGCCCUAAACGAUGA